Colletotrichum spaethianum is the source of this 116-nucleotide ribosomal RNA. Lineage: Eukaryota; Fungi; Ascomycota; Sordariomycetes; Glomerellales; Glomerellaceae. The record is from RefSeq and is a predicted model, not a curated record.
AUACGACCAUACCCACUGGAGAACUCGGGAUCCCGUCCGCUCUCCCAUAGAUAAGCCAGUGAGGGCCGGAUUAGUAGUUGGGUCGGUGACGACCAGCGAAUACCUGGUGUUGUAUG